RNAcentral lists this ribosomal RNA (300 nucleotides) under uncultured bacterium. RNAcentral's name for it is "bacterial SSU rRNA". It matches the Rfam family "Bacterial small subunit ribosomal RNA", at positions 333 to 630 of the family's 1533-position model. The record is from RNAcentral.
UUGCACCUACGGGGGGCAGCAGUGAGGAAUAUUGGUCAAUGGGCGUAAGCCUGAACCAGCCACGUCGCGUGAGGGAUGAAGGUUCUAUGGAUCGUAAACCUCUUUUAUAAGGGAAUAAAGUGCGGGACGUGUCCCGUUUUGUAUGUACCUUAUGAAUAAGGAUCGGCUAACUCCGUGCCAGCAGCCGCGGUAAUACGGAGGAUCCGAGCGUUAUCGGGAAUUAUUGGGUUUAAAGGGUGCGUAGGCGGCCUUCUAAGUCAGCGGUGAAAGUCUGUGGCUCAACAAUAGAAUUGCCGUUGA